UACGGAGGGUGCAAGCGUUAAUCGGAAUUACUGGGCGUAAAGCGCACGUAGGUGGUUUGUUAAGCCAGCUGUGAAAUCCCCGGGCUCAACCUGGGCACUGCAGUUGGAACUGGCAAGCUAGAGUAGGGUAGGGGGGUGUGGAAUUCCAGGUGUAGCGGUGAAAUGCGUAGAUAUCUGGAGGAACAUCAGUGGCGAAGGCGACACCCUGGACUCAUACUGACACUGAGGUGCGAAAGCGUGGGGAGCAAACAGG
RNAcentral lists this ribosomal RNA (253 nucleotides) under uncultured bacterium. Its description in RNAcentral is "partial 16S ribosomal RNA". It matches the Rfam family "Bacterial small subunit ribosomal RNA", at positions 524 to 776 of the family's 1533-position model. The record is from RNAcentral.